GUAAAAGCAGCCUUCUUCAGUCUUUUCUUUUCCAUUUUCUUAAGUAUUCAACUUCAAAUACAAGAAAAAGUUUCAACUUCAAAUACAAGAAAAAGUGAAGAGUAAAGGUGAAACGAUAAAUAGAGGUUGAAGAUUUUGGAAGAUUUGGAAGUUCAACCUCAAGUAGAAAAUUCUACAACAGAUAAAACUCAAGUAAAAGGUGGAAAAUAGAGCAUCCAUCUUCAGAAGACUGGAGAGAUGUGAAUGUGUUUCUCAAGUUUUUGGGGAUUUUCUAUCAAACAACUUUGAAAUUUUCGAGUACUUUACAUGUUGCUCCAAAUACUUUCUUUGAUGAGCUUUUUAAUCUUCAAAGCAUAAUUGUCAAUCAUUCAAAGUGUGAAAAAUCUCUUUUGUCUAGUAUGACUAAGAAGAUGAAAGGUAAGUUUGAUAAAUAUUGGGGUGAUUUUGAUGAUAUGAAUAUGUUGUUGUUCGUU
This is a long non-coding RNA of Solanum pennellii, 473 nucleotides long. RefSeq lists it as uncharacterized. The transcript is spliced from 3 exons. The record is from RefSeq and is a predicted model, not a curated record. NCBI's taxonomy places the organism in Eukaryota, Viridiplantae, Streptophyta, Magnoliopsida, Solanales, Solanaceae.